CUACGGGGGGCUGCAGUAAGGAAUAUUGGUCAAUGGACGCAAGUCUGAACCAGCCAUGCCGCGUGAAGGAUGACAGCCCUACGGGUUGUAAACUUCCUUUAUACGGGAAGAAUCCCCCGGACGUGUUCGGGGUUGACUGUACCGUUUGAAUAAGCACCGGCUAACUCCGUGCCAGCAGCCGCGGUAAUACGGAGGGUGCAAGCGUUAUCCGGAUUUAUUGGGUUUAAAGGGUGCGUAGGCGGAAUGAUAAGUCAGUGGUGAAAGCCCCCGGCUCAACCGGGGAACUGCCAUUGAUACUGUCAUUCUUGAGUACACUUGAAGUGGGCGGAAUGUAUCAUGUAGCGGUGAAAUGCAUAGAUAUGAUACAGAACACCGAUAGCGAAGGCAGCUCACUAAAUUGUAACUGACGCUAAGGCACGAAAGCGUGGGGAGCAAACAGGAUUAGAUACCCUUGUAGUC
This 459-nucleotide ribosomal RNA is filed under the name uncultured bacterium. Its description in RNAcentral is "partial 16S ribosomal RNA". It matches the Rfam family "Bacterial small subunit ribosomal RNA", at positions 339 to 795 of the family's 1533-position model. The record is from RNAcentral.